GAUGAAGAACGCAGUGAAAUGCGAUAAGUAGUGUGAAUUGCAGAAUUCAGUGAAUCAUCGAAUCUUUGAACGCACAUUGCGCCCCUUGGUAUUCCAUGGGGCAUGCCUGUUCGAGCGUCAUUUGUACCUUCAAGCUUUGCUUGGUGUUGGGUGUUUGUCCAUUCUCUUGCAGAGGGACUCGCCUUAAAGUAAUUGGCAGCCAGUGUUUUGGUUUUGAAGCGCAGCACAAGUCGCGAUUCAAAGCUAUACGCCCGCUUCCACAAGCCUUUUUCGCUUUUGACCUCGGAUCAGGUAGGGAUACCCGCUGAACUUAAGCAUAUCAAUAAGCGGAGGA
RNAcentral lists this unclassified non-coding RNA (334 nucleotides) under soil metagenome. Its description in RNAcentral is "partial contains 5.8S ribosomal RNA, internal transcribed spacer 2, and large subunit ribosomal RNA". The stretch from base 1 to 120 matches the Rfam family "5.8S ribosomal RNA", at positions 35 to 154 of the family's 154-position model. The record is from RNAcentral.